GAUGAAGAACGCAGCGAAAUGCGAUAAGUAAUGUGAAUUGCAGAAUUCAGUGAAUCAUCGAAUCUUUGAACGCACAUUGCGCCCGCCAGUAUUCUGGCGGGCAUGCCUGUCUGGGCGUCAUUUCAACCCUCAUGCCCCUAGGGCGUGGUGUUGGGGAUCGGCCAAAGCCCGCGAGGGACGGCCGGCCCCUAAAUCUAGUGGCGGACCCGUCGUGGCCUCCUCUGCGAAGUAGUGAUAUUCCGCAUCGGAGAGCGAUGAGCCCCUGCCGUUAAACCCCCAACUUUCCAAGGUUGACCUCAGAUCAGGUAGGAAUACCCGCUGAACUUAAGCAUAUCAAUAAGCGGAGGA
RNAcentral lists this unclassified non-coding RNA (348 nucleotides) under soil metagenome. Its description in RNAcentral is "partial contains 5.8S ribosomal RNA, internal transcribed spacer 2, and large subunit ribosomal RNA". The stretch from base 1 to 120 matches the Rfam family "5.8S ribosomal RNA", at positions 35 to 154 of the family's 154-position model. The record is from RNAcentral.